RNAcentral lists this ribosomal RNA (467 nucleotides) under uncultured bacterium. RNAcentral's name for it is "partial 16S ribosomal RNA". It matches the Rfam family "Bacterial small subunit ribosomal RNA", at positions 28 to 507 of the family's 1533-position model. The record is from RNAcentral.
GGUGAACGCUGGCGGCGUGCCUAAGACAUGCAAGUCGAGCGGGGCAGGUUUAUCCCUGUUCAGCGGCGGACGGGUGAGUAACGCGUGGGUGACCUACCCUGAAGAGGCGGACAACCUGGGGAAACCCAGGCUAAUCCGCCAUGUGGUCCUGUCCUGUGGGGCAGGACUAAAGGGGCGACCCGCUUCCGGAUGGGCCCGCGUCCCAUCAGCUAGUUGGUGGGGUAAAGGCCCACCAAGGCGACGACGGGUAGCCGGUCUGAGAGGAUGGCCGGCCACAGGGGCACUGAGACACGGGCCCAACUCCUACGGGAGGCAGCAGUUAGGAAUCUGCCGCAAUGGACGGAAGUCUGACGGAGCGACGCCGCUGGGAGGAGGAAGCCCUUCGGGGUGUAAACUCCUGAACUGGGGACGAAAGCCCCGUGUAGGGGGAUGACGGUACCCAGGUAAUAGCGCCGGCCAACUCCGUG